This 557-nucleotide long non-coding RNA is filed under the name Rattus norvegicus (Norway rat). RNAcentral describes it as "long non-coding RNA NONRATT013409". The record is from RNAcentral. Lineage: Eukaryota; Metazoa; Chordata; Mammalia; Rodentia; Muridae.
AGGCGAGGCUCACGCGCCCGCCCCCGCCCUGGCCCCAGCGCCCACCCUGUCGGCCCGGCCCAGCCAUGAUCAAGGCCAUCCUCAUCUUCAACAACCACGGGAAGCCGCGGCUCUCCAAGUUCUACCAGCCCUAUAGUGAAGAUACGCAACAGCAAAUCAUCAGGGAGACUUUCCAUCUGGUGUCUAAGCGAGACGAGAAUGUUUGUAAUUUCCUAGAAGGAGGAUUAUUAAUUGGAGGAUCUGACAACAAACUGAUUUACAGACAUUAUGCAACACUAUAUUUUGUCUUCUGUGUGGAUUCCUCAGAAAGUGAACUUGGCAUUUUAGAUCUAAUUCAAGGCUGGAGAGAUGGCUCAGCAGUCAAGAGCACUGACUGCUCUUCCAGAGGUCCUGAGUUCAAAUUCUAGGAACCACAUGGUGGCUCACAAGCAUCUGUAAUGAGAUCUGAUGCCCCCUUCUGGUGUGUCUGAAGACAGCGACAGUGUACUCACAUAAAAUGAGUGAAUGAAUGAAUGAAUGAAUGAAUAAAUAAAUAAAUAAAUAAAUAAAUAAAUCAA